GUGGGGAAUUUUGGACAAUGGGCGCAAGCCUGAUCCAGCAAUGCCGCGUGCAGGAUGAAGGCCUUCGGGUUGUAAACUGCUUUUGUACGGAGCGAAAAGGCUUCCACUAAUACUGGGGGCUCAUGACGGUACCGUAAGAAUAAGCACCGGCUAACUACGUGCCAGCAGCCGCGGUAAUACGUAGGGUGCAAGCGUUAAUCGGAAUUACUGGGCGUAAAGCGUGCGCAGGCGGUUUUGUAAGACAGGUGUGAAAUCCCCGGGCUUAACCUGGGAACUGCACUUGUGACUGCAAGGCUGGAGUACGGCAGAGGGGGAUGGAAUUCCGCGUGUAGCAGUGAAAUGCGUAGAUAUGCGGAGGAACACCGAUGGCGAAGGCAAUCCCCUGGGCCUGCACUGACGCUCAUGCACGAAAGCGUGGGGAGCAAACAGGAUUAGAUACCCCAGUAGUCC
Molecule: ribosomal RNA, 450 nt
Filed under: uncultured bacterium
Lineage: Bacteria
Description: partial 16S ribosomal RNA
Rfam family: Bacterial small subunit ribosomal RNA
Source: RNAcentral